This is an RNA transcript of Leptopilina boulardi, 862 nucleotides long. RefSeq lists it as uncharacterized. The transcript is spliced from 2 exons. The record is from RefSeq and is a predicted model, not a curated record. NCBI's taxonomy places the organism in Eukaryota, Metazoa, Arthropoda, Insecta, Hymenoptera, Figitidae.
UGCAAACUUACUACCACGGUGGCUACAAAUAUGAUAGAGACUAUAGAUGCACACGAACCGUCACCUACAGGUUCCGUCUCUACAGGGUUCAAAUUUUAAUUUAAUAUUUAAUGUUAAAAAAAUGUAUUAAAGAUUCGAAAACAAUGGAAAGAAUGUUUCUCUAGAGUGGAGAUCUGUAAAACAAAUAUUAUUGAGAAAACGGAGAAAGGCUGGAUUUUGCCGUCCUAAAACAUUAGAAGAGUUAGCAGGUUACUUGUUAAAAAAUUCAAAGUUAAAACCCAUUUUUAAAGGUGUAGUAAAGCAUGGAACACAAAUGGCAUUACUGUUCUCUACGGAUAAACUUAACAGCGAAUUAAAUAGUCAAACUGGAGUUUAUAUGGAUGGAACAUUCGAAGUAAUGUUAUGUUUUUAAUUUUGGUAUUGAUUGUAUUACUUAUUUUAAUUAUAAUUCUAUAUGACAGGAAAUCUUUUUAUUUAAAAUUUUUAUAUACGCGGUAGAAAUUUUAACUGAAUACUAGGAAAUUAUUUUAAUUUGUCUAACUUUAAAUGUGGUGUUGGAUCAAUUUUGUAGGAUGUGGCUGUAACGUCUGUAUCAAUAAAAUAUUAGAAGAACCAGAUUUCUGCAAGUAAAAAUAUUUUUUGCUAAAUUUAAAAGAGAAAAACUGUUUGAUAAUUGUAAUUUAAAUUAAAUAUGCGUACAAAAAAUGACAAAAAUAAAGAAAGUGUAUAAAUUAAACAUACUGUCUGUGGGUAAUGUGUCUUCUUAAGAAAUGUAGCUCAUUCCAGUGCUCCCAAGUCUCCGGAUUUUCUAUCUCGUACAACCUCAUAUAUCUAUCUCACAAGAACUUCCAACGAGUUCUAA